CCUGCCCUGCAUUCUGGGACAAGCCUUGGAAACGGGGUCUAAUACCGGAUACGACGCAUCUCCGCAUGGGGUGUGCGUGGAAAGCUCCGGCGAUGCAGGAUGGGCCCGCGGCCUAUCAGCUUGUUGGUGGGGUGAUGGCCUACCAAGGCGAUGAUGGGUAGCUGGUCUGAGAGGACGAUCAGCCACACUGGGACUGAGACACGGCCCAG
Molecule: ribosomal RNA, 209 nt
Filed under: uncultured bacterium
Lineage: Bacteria
Description: partial 16S ribosomal RNA
Rfam family: Bacterial small subunit ribosomal RNA
Source: RNAcentral